GAGUCGGACGGGCUGUCGCUGCGGAUCAUGCGAUCCGGAGAGGAAAGUCCGGGCUUCACAGGGCAGGAUGCUGGCUAACGGCCAGAGCGGGCGACCGCUGGAAAGCGCAACAGAAAGCAGACCGCCGUUCUCAGGAACGGUAAGGGUGAAACGGUGAGGUAAAAGCUCACCGGCUGACGUGGCGACACGUCAGGCCAGGCAAGCCCCAUCCGAAGCAAAACCAAAUAGGGAAACCGGCCGGCCCGGCCCAUGGUUUCCGGGUAGGUUGCCAUAUGAAAGAAAACAUUGCGGAGAAGACGGCUCCUCCGGGAACGGAACAAAACCCGGCUUACAGUCCGACUCC
Molecule: RNase P RNA, 343 nt
Filed under: uncultured Mailhella sp.
Lineage: Bacteria; Pseudomonadati; Thermodesulfobacteriota; Desulfovibrionia; Desulfovibrionales; Desulfovibrionaceae
Description: Bacterial RNase P class A
Rfam family: Bacterial RNase P class A
About the family: Ribonuclease P (RNase P) is a ubiquitous endoribonuclease, found in archaea, bacteria and eukarya as well as chloroplasts and mitochondria. Its best characterised activity is the generation of mature 5'-ends of tRNAs by cleaving the 5'-leader elements of precursor-tRNAs. Cellular RNase Ps are ribonucleoproteins.
Source: RNAcentral